Molecule: ribosomal RNA, 482 nt
Filed under: uncultured bacterium
Lineage: Bacteria
Description: partial 16S ribosomal RNA
Rfam family: Bacterial small subunit ribosomal RNA
Source: RNAcentral
GACGAACGCUGGCGGCGUGCUUAACACAUGCAAGUCGAACGCUGACGCUCAGCUUGCUGGGUGGAUGAGUGGCGAACGGGUGCGUAACACGUGAGUAACCUGCCCUCUUCUUUGGGAUAACGCCCGGAAACGGGUGCUUAUACUGGAUAUUCACUGAUUCUCGCAUGGGGGUUGGUGGCAAGGUUUCUUCUGGUGGGGGAUGGGCUCGCGGCCUAUCAGCUUGUUGGUGGGGUGAUGGCCUACCAAGGCUUUGACGGGUAUGCGGCCUGGGAGGGUGACCGGGAACAUUAGGAUCGAGAUACGGCCCAGCGUCAGACGGGAGUAGGGAAUAGUGAAUAUUGCACAAAGGGCGGAAGCCGGAAGCAGCGGCGCCGCGUGAGGGCUGGAGGGUUUCGGGUUGUAAACCUCUUUCGCUAAUAGUCAAGCCGCAGUUUUGGGUUGUAGUGAGGGUAGUGGGUAAAGAAGCGCCGGCUAACUACGUG